UCUGGUGAACAUACUGAAAAGGUCACACCUGUACCCAUUCCGAACACAGUCGUUAAGCUUUUCAGGCCGAUGAUAGUGCCCACCAGCGCGAAAGUAGGUACCGCCAGAU
Molecule: ribosomal RNA, 109 nt
Filed under: Planctomycetaceae bacterium
Lineage: Bacteria; Pseudomonadati; Planctomycetota; Planctomycetia; Planctomycetales; Planctomycetaceae
Source: RNAcentral